RNAcentral lists this long non-coding RNA (1331 nucleotides) under Macaca fascicularis (crab-eating macaque). RNAcentral describes it as "lncRNA (ENSMFAG00000050408.1)". Lineage: Eukaryota; Metazoa; Chordata; Mammalia; Primates; Cercopithecidae. The record is from RNAcentral.
UCAUUCAAUAUGGCUUUAUUUUCUCAUUGGCCGGCUGCAUCCCACACCAGCCUGAGCCCCAGACGGUCAGUCAGUGCAUCCAUCCUGACGACCUGUCCGGGAAGGAAGGAAGGAAGCUCCCUCUGAAACGCUGGCCCGGCGGCACCCAGACAGAAGCCUGCUGGCUAGCACGCAAGCACUCCCCAGAUUCUCUCAUGGUGACAAGGUGGCAGCUGCCGGGGUCCCAGAGUCCCAGCACAAGUGCCCAGAGGCCAGCCGGGAUGGGCCCUUGGGCAAGUCUCUGGAGGAGGCGGGCAACCCGCAGGGCAGACGGGGGGAAGAGGGUCCCCUGCUAACCUGGAGGAAAGUGGGGCGGUUACCCCCGCACCCCUCCAGGCUGCAGGUUCAGGAGGGCAGAGGUGCUGGCCGAGGAACUGGUGGCCAAAGUGAGAACCCCUGGUCCUAUCUGGACAGAACCCCAGGUUCCCAUGGGCCGGCCCAGGUCCCUCAGACAGCAAACACCUCCCUGGGCCACGAAAGGGAGAUGGCUGUGGGUGCCCAGGCCAGGACUCGCCCAGCUCAAGCCCCUUCUUCCCCAAGUCUGCUCGGCACGCACUGCGUGGGUUAUAUUGCUAAAGAACGGACACGCCGGGGUCUCCCUGAGCUCAAUGCGGGCCUCCUUCCCUCCCACACUCACACACGGCGCCUGGCCUGCGGGGUGGAGGGUUCUGUCCAUGGCUUCGUGGGGGCCCGGACCUUCCUCUCGGAGUUCCAGGAAGGGUGGCCCCAGAGGCCAUGCCAAGUGUCUCCUUCCCAACAAAUGCUCUCACCUGACGCCCCCACCCUGAACACGUCCUUUCGAUAAAUGAGGAAGCUGAGGCCCAGGGCAGGGAGUGAGGAGAGGAGCCACCCGGCCUCCCCAGGCCACCUCCUGCCUCCCAGUCCUCCACCUGCACCCAGUUCCCCAGGGAGGACCGGCCGGCCAUGGCAAAGCCUGGCGGGCCUGGGGGCCCAGCACCGAGCCCAGGAAACACCAGGCACUGGCUCAGGACUCAGGGCAGGGAGCUGGGCCGGGGUCAAGCAGGUGAGGCCCCUGGGAGCCGGGCUGGGGCCGAAGAGGCACAGGGGCCGGCGGGACAGGCUGGGAGGAGAGGAGCGCGGGGGAAUGGGGGUGUGCAGUGUGUCAGGGGUCGGGGAGGCAGGGGCCCUGCCAGCCCCCCACGAAGCAGAGGCUGUCAACGAUGACGUCAGACCCUGCAGUCGGAAAAGGGGAAGGCUGAGUGCUACGGCUCCCCGACAGCCCACUGUGGAGGGGACGGGUCACUGAGACCACAUGGGGGACAAAAUGCUCC